This 240-nucleotide unclassified non-coding RNA is filed under the name soil metagenome. RNAcentral's name for it is "partial contains 5.8S ribosomal RNA, internal transcribed spacer 2, and large subunit ribosomal RNA". The record is from RNAcentral.
AACGGUCUAUACCUGCGGUACCUGCGGAGGGAUCAUUACUGAGUUAGGGUUCCCUCUUCGGGGCCCGACCUCCCAACCCUGUGUCUACUACACCUUGUCGUUGCUUCGGCGGACCGGUUGACCAACUGGUCUCGACCGCCGGGGUGGCUCAGCCGCCCUGGAGAGCGUCCGCCGACGGCCUACCACAAAACUCUUGUUCCUAAACCUGUCGUCUGAAUUUUGAUUGGUAAAUAUAAACCA